Molecule: long non-coding RNA, 760 nt
Filed under: Manihot esculenta (cassava)
Lineage: Eukaryota; Viridiplantae; Streptophyta; Magnoliopsida; Malpighiales; Euphorbiaceae
Description: long non-coding RNA (MESC_LNC008880)
Source: RNAcentral
UGAAAGAAAGUAAAUUGGAUAGAAAAUUGAAUGAAGCUAUUUCAAUAGACGUGAUGUGAUUAUAAUGAUAGAUGAAUGACAGCCCAAAGAUUAGAGAAUGCAUUCUGCUGGAAAUUUGAUGUCGCUGAUCUCCUCCAACUUAGAUCCUACUAACUUCAGCUAAUAAUAACUCACAUGGACAGUUCCCAAUAAAAAUAGCAGAGAUACAAAAAAAGGGGAAAGAAGACCCAACUCGCAUGAUUACAGGCACAUAAUGUCAAAUCCUUCACAAACUUUCCACAAUGGUAGCAGCAUUUCAAAAUGCAUAAUGAUCAGAUUACAAAGCACACAAAAUCACGAGGUCAUGAUAAUUCACUUCCCAAUAGGACUAUGAAAUCAGUUAUUUUGGUCUCAAAUUAAACUGAAACAAACUAUUUGAAAAACGGAAAUCUAAAAUAAUGGCAACUAAACCUAAGUACAUAAAAACUGAAUCAAACUGAUAGCUCAUACAGACUUCAGUCAGUUUAGUUAUUCUAUUUUUUGCUUUUUUCACUAAAUCAACCAAGCUGGAAACCUGAACUUUUUAAUCCAUAACUGAAACUGAAUGGUCCGGUUAGGUUUUUUGGUUAAAACCUUCAGCUAGCUUUUAGUGCGUCAAAAAGCCAGGUAAGGUUCAAACCAAAGAGAAGAAAACAAAUCAAAAGCAGUGCUAUUCAUCUUCAUGCCUAGAAAUGGAGAGGCACAGAGGAAGAGCAAACUGACCAGUGACAACUUUCCCAGC